Molecule: transfer RNA, 74 nt
Filed under: Candidatus Woesearchaeota archaeon
Lineage: Archaea; Nanobdellati; Candidatus Woesearchaeota
Description: tRNA-Arg
Rfam family: tRNA
About the family: Transfer RNA (tRNA) molecules are approximately 80 nucleotides in length.
Source: RNAcentral
GGGCCCGUAGUUUAACCCGGACAGAACAUCCGGCUUCGGACCGGACAAUGGGGGUUCAAAUCCUCCCGGGCUCG